This 734-nucleotide long non-coding RNA is filed under the name Homo sapiens (human). RNAcentral's name for it is "non-protein coding lnc-SLC37A4-1:33". The record is from RNAcentral. Lineage: Eukaryota; Metazoa; Chordata; Mammalia; Primates; Hominidae.
UCAGGACACUGGGUCCCCUUGGAGCCUCCCCAGGCUUAAUGAUUGUCCAGAAGGCGGCUAUAAAGGGAGCCUGGGAGGCUGGGUGGAGGAGGGAGCAGAAAAAACCCAACUCAGCAGAUCUGGGAACUGUGAGAGCGGCAAGCAGGAACUGUGGUCAGAGGCUGUGCGUCUUGGCUGGUAGGGCCUGCUCUUUUCUACCAUGGCAGCCCAGGGCUAUGGCUAUUAUCGCACUGUGAUCUUCUCAGCCAUGUUUGGGGGCUACAGCCUGUAUUACUUCAAUCGCAAGACCUUCUCCUUUGUCAUGCCAUCAUUGGUGGAAGAGAUCCCUUUGGACAAGGAUGAUUUGGUGGUUUGAGCCAUCUCAGUUUGGCACUUGGUGGGCCAUCCUGUCAACCAGCAUGAACCUGGCUGGAGGGCUGGGCCCUAUCCUGGCAACCAUCCUUGCCCAGAGCUACAGCUGGCGCAGCACGCUGGCCCUAUCUGGGGCACUGUGGUGUGGUUGUCUCCUUCCUCUGUCUCCUGCUCAUCCACAAUGAACCUGCUGAUGUUGGACUCCGCAACCUGGACCCCAUGCCCUCUGAGGGCAAGAAGGGCUCCUUGAAGGAGGAGAGCACCCUGCAGGAGCUGCUGCUGUCCCCUUACCUGUGGGUGCUCUCCACUGGUUACCUUGUGGUGUUUGGAGUAAAGACCUGCUGUACUGACUGGGGCCAGUUCUUCCUUAUCCAGGAGAAAGG